UCUGGCAACAAAUAAGUUUUUAACCAAAAUUGCAAAACAAAAUGGCAAAACCCAUAUUGUACUUUUUGUAAGGCUGAACUGGAAUCAAUUGAACACAUACUGUGGGACUGUUAUUAUGUACAACAAUUUAUUGAGCAAACUGAAAUGUAGUUUCUCUAGAAUGGUAUUAGUAUACCAUUUACAAAAGAUAUUUCUUGUUUGGAAAUUUAUCACGAAUGUACAAAGGUGACCCUCAAAACAAUAUUUUUCUCUGGAUUAAACAAUAUAUAUAUAAUACAAGAUAUCUUAAAGGAGAAUUAAGUUUAACAGCAUUGAUUGACAAAAUAAAUAAACUCAUCAUAGAUACCAGGACUAAAUAAACAUCAUUAUAUUUUGGAGAAGAAGAUAUCAAUUUACAAGAAUGUGUCCAUAGUACACGGAUGCCCCAAUCGCACUAUCAUUUUCCAUGUUCAG
Molecule: long non-coding RNA, 453 nt
Filed under: Mytilus galloprovincialis (Mediterranean mussel)
Lineage: Eukaryota; Metazoa; Mollusca; Bivalvia; Mytilida; Mytilidae
Source: RNAcentral